AUUGAACGCUAGCGGGAUGCUUUACACAUGCAAGUCGAACGGCAGCGCGGACUUCGGUCUGGCGGCGAGUGGCGAACGGGUGAGUAAUGUAUCGGAACGUGCCCAGUAGCGGGGGAUAACUACGCGAAAGCGUAGCUAAUACCGCAUACGCCCUACGGGGGAAAGCAGGGGAUCGUAAGACCUUGCACUAUUGGAGCGGCCGUUAUCGGAUUAGCUAGUUGGUGAGGUAACGGCUCACCAAGGCGACGAUCCGUAGCUGGUUUGAGAGGACGACCAGCCACACUGGGACUGAGACACGGCCCAGACUCCUACGGGAGGCAGCAGUGGGGAAUUUUGGACAAUGGGGGCAACCCUGAUCCAGCCAUCCCGCGUGUGCGAUGAAGGCCUUCGGGUUGUAAAGCACUUUUGGCAGGAAAGAAACGUCGCGGGCUAAUACCCCGUGGAACUGACGGUACCUGCAGAAUAAGCACCGGCUAACUACGUG
RNAcentral lists this ribosomal RNA (484 nucleotides) under uncultured bacterium. RNAcentral's name for it is "partial 16S ribosomal RNA". It matches the Rfam family "Bacterial small subunit ribosomal RNA", at positions 30 to 507 of the family's 1533-position model. The record is from RNAcentral.